This 245-nucleotide ribosomal RNA is filed under the name uncultured Smithella sp. RNAcentral's name for it is "partial 16S ribosomal RNA". It matches the Rfam family "Bacterial small subunit ribosomal RNA", at positions 524 to 768 of the family's 1533-position model. The record is from RNAcentral. Lineage: Bacteria; Pseudomonadati; Thermodesulfobacteriota; Syntrophia; Syntrophales; Smithellaceae.
UACGGGGGGUGCAAGCGUUGUUCGGAAUUAUUGGGCGUAAAGAGCGUGUAGGCGGCUGAAUAAGUCAGAUGUGAAAUCCCUGGGCUUAACCCAGGACGUGCAUUUGAAACUAUUCAGCUUGAGUAAGGGAGAGGAAAGUGGAAUUCCUGGUGUAGAGGUGAAAUUCGUAGAUAUCAGGAGGAACACCGGUGGCGAAGGCGACUUUCUGGCCCUAUACUGACGGCCCCCCGCGAGAGCGUGGGUAG